UGUAGCUAAUUUAUAUUAAGAUGAUAUAUUUAUAUUAAGUGUGAUUAUCAGUUCAGGGCUGCUGUGGACUAUGCAGUGUCCACACUACGUUCAGCAUCAGUAUGGCAAGCCGAGGUAUGCCAGAUUGCCCAAGGAGAAGUGAACUGGUCCUGGUUGGAUACGGAGCAGGUAAAAACUCCCGUGCCAAUCAGUAGUGGGGACUGCGCUUGUGAAUAGCUGCUGUAACAUUACCU
Non-coding RNA from Podarcis lilfordi (Lilford's wall lizard), 233 nucleotides. Lineage: Eukaryota; Metazoa; Chordata; Lepidosauria; Squamata; Lacertidae. The record is from the annotation of a GenBank genome assembly.